RNAcentral lists this ribosomal RNA (258 nucleotides) under uncultured bacterium. Its description in RNAcentral is "partial small subunit ribosomal RNA". It matches the Rfam family "Bacterial small subunit ribosomal RNA", at positions 26 to 285 of the family's 1533-position model. The record is from RNAcentral.
AGGACGAACGCUGGCGGCGUGCUUAACACAUGCAAGUCGAGCGGAAAGGCCCUUUCGGGGGUACUCGAGCGGCGAACGGGUGAGUAACACGUGAGUAACCUGCCUCUGGCUUUGGGAUAACCCUCGGAAACGGGGGCUAAUACCGAAUAUUCAGCUUCUGCGGCAUCGUGGUUGUUGGAAAGUUUUUUCGGCUGGAGAUGGGCUCGCGGCCUAUCAGCUUGUUGGUGGGGUAAUGGCCUACCAAGGCGUCGACGGGUA